UCCGGUAGAGAGUGAACCAGCGGAGGGAUCAUUACCGAGUUUACAACUCCCAAACCCCUGUGAACAUACCACUUGUUGCCUCGGCGGAUCAGCCCGCUCCCGGUAAAACGGGACGGCCCGCCAGAGGACCCCUAAACUCUGUUUCUAUAUGUAACUUCUGAGUAAAACCAUAAAUAAAUCAAAACUUUCAACAACGGAUCUCUUGGUUCUGGCAUCGAUGAAGAACGCAGCAAAAUGCGAUAAGUAAUGUGAAUUGCAGAAUUCAGUGAAUCAUCGAAUCUUUGAACGCACAUUGCGCCCGCCAGUAUUCUGGCGGGCAUGCCUGUUCGAGCGUCAUUUCAACCCUCAAGCCCUCGGGUUUGGUGUUGGGGAUCGGCGAGCCUUUCUGGCAAGCCGGCCCCGAAAUCUAGUGGCGGUCUCGCUGCAGCCUCCAUUGCGUAGUAGUAAAACCCUCGCAACUGGAACGCGGCGCGGCCAAGCCGUUAAACCCCCAACUUCUGAAUGUUGACCUCGGAUCAGGUAGGAAUACCCGCUGAACUUAAGCAUAUCAAUAAGCGGAGGAAA
This 564-nucleotide ribosomal RNA is filed under the name uncultured fungus. RNAcentral's name for it is "eukaryotic LSU rRNA". The stretch from base 183 to 336 matches the Rfam family "5.8S ribosomal RNA". The record is from RNAcentral. Lineage: Eukaryota; Fungi.